AGUGAACGCUGGCGGCAGGCCUAACACAUGCAAGUCGAGCGGCAGCGCGUCCGACCACCCUCGGGUGGUCGGAUGGCGGCGAGCGGCGGACGGGUGAGGAAUGCAUCGGAAUCUGCCUCGUUGUGGGGGAUAACGUAGGGAAACUUACGCUAAUACCGCAUACGACCUACGGGUGAAAGUGGGGGACCUUCGGGCCUCACGCGAUGAGAUGAGCCGAUGCCGGAUUAGCUAGUUGGCGGGGUAAAGGCCCACCAAGGCGACGAUCCGUAGCUGGUCUGAGAGGAUGAUCAGCCACACUGGAACUGAGACACGGUCCAGACUCCUACGGGAGGCAGCAGUGGGGAAUAUUGGACAAUGGGGGCGAACCCUGAUCCAGCCAUGCCGCGUGAGUGAAG
RNAcentral lists this ribosomal RNA (395 nucleotides) under uncultured bacterium. RNAcentral describes it as "bacterial SSU rRNA". It matches the Rfam family "Bacterial small subunit ribosomal RNA", at positions 30 to 410 of the family's 1533-position model. The record is from RNAcentral.